This 289-nucleotide ribosomal RNA is filed under the name uncultured bacterium. Its description in RNAcentral is "partial 16S ribosomal RNA". It matches the Rfam family "Bacterial small subunit ribosomal RNA", at positions 29 to 346 of the family's 1533-position model. The record is from RNAcentral.
AACGAACGCUGGCGGCAUGCCUAACACAUGCAAGUCGAACGAAGCCUUCGGGCUUAGUGGCGCACGGGUGCGUAACGCGUGGGAAUCUGCCCUUGGUUCGGAAUAACAGUUAGAAAUGACUGCUAAUACCGAAUGAUGUCUUCGGACCAAAGAUUUAUCGCCCAAGGAUGAGCCCGCGUCGGAUUAGCUAGUUGGUGAGGUAAAGGCUCACCAAGGCGACGAUCCGUAGCUGGUCUGAGAGGAUGAUCAGCCACACUGGGACUGAGACACGGCCCAGACUCCUACGGGA